Molecule: long non-coding RNA, 371 nt
Organism: Syngnathoides biaculeatus (alligator pipefish)
Lineage: Eukaryota; Metazoa; Chordata; Actinopteri; Syngnathiformes; Syngnathidae
Exons: 3
Source: RefSeq, a predicted model, not a curated record
UGGGAGUCUCUCAAGCUCUGGACCAUCUCCCGGUUCUCCAAGAAGGCCGAGAGGGAGGCGCCCCACACGGAGUGGGCCUCGUAGAUCAUGUUGGUGAACUCGCGGUGCAUGGUGCGCCCCUUUCGGAGGCCCUGGGAAAAGGCCGUGAGAACCAGGCGUGGAAGCUGUCUUCGUUCAAACCCCGUAGGUGGUCUGGAGCCGGAACGAGUCUUCCUCGAGUGUCACUGCAUGGAGGUCCGUGAACUAAAUGAUGGUGGACUUUUGGCCUUCGCUGAUGGUACAUCACCGCCAUGGACCGGUGUUUCUUUUGGAUAAUCAUCUGAACUUCCUUCUCCUGUCUGUCACUCCGUUACCAUGCUCUUCCCGACUGA